CCUACGGGGCGCACCAGUGGGGAAUAUUGCACAAUGGGCGCAAGCCUGAUGCAGCCAUGCCGCGUGUGUGAAGAAGGCCUUCGGGUUGUAAAGCACUUUCAGCGGGGAGGAAGGCGGUGAGGUUAAUAACCUCAUCGAUUGACGUUACCCGCAGAAGAAGCACCGGCUAACUCCGUGCCAGCAGCCGCGGUAAUACGGAGGGUGCAAGCGUUAAUCGGAAUUACUGGGCGUAAAGCGCACGCAGGAGGUCUGUCAAGUCGGAUGUGAAAUCCCCGGGCUCAACCUGGGAACUGCAUUCGAAACUGGCAGGCUAGAGUCUUGUAGAGGGGGGUAGAAUUCCAGGUGUAGCGGUGAAAUGCGUAGAGAUCUGGAGGAAUACCGGCGGCGAAGGCGGCCCCCUGGACAAAGACUGACGCUCAGGUGUGAAAGCGUGGGGAGCAAACAGGAUUAGAUACCCUCGUAGUC
RNAcentral lists this ribosomal RNA (465 nucleotides) under uncultured bacterium. RNAcentral describes it as "bacterial SSU rRNA". It matches the Rfam family "Bacterial small subunit ribosomal RNA", at positions 338 to 795 of the family's 1533-position model. The record is from RNAcentral.